GGAGCUGUGGCUCAGUGUUACAGUACUCACCUCACAUAUGGGAGGUACUGGGUUCAAUCCUCAGCACCA
RNAcentral lists this transfer RNA (69 nucleotides) under Marmota monax (woodchuck). Its description in RNAcentral is "tRNA.Val". Lineage: Eukaryota; Metazoa; Chordata; Mammalia; Rodentia; Sciuridae. The record is from RNAcentral.